CUGCGGAAGGAUCAUUU
This 17-nucleotide ribosomal RNA is filed under the name Alexandrium tamarense. RNAcentral's name for it is "partial 18S ribosomal RNA". RNAcentral also lists the same sequence under 1 other name. The record is from RNAcentral. Lineage: Eukaryota; Dinophyceae; Gonyaulacales; Pyrocystaceae.